UACGAAGGGGGCUAGCGUUGUUCGGAUUUACUGGGCGUAAAGCGCACGUAGGCGGACUUUUAAGUCAGGGGUGAAAUCCCAGAGCUCAACUCUGGAACUGCCUUUGAUACUGGAAGUCUUGAGUAUGGAAGAGGUUGGCGGAACUGCGAGUGUAGAGGUGAAAUUCGUAGAUAUUCGCAAGAACACCGGUGGCGAAAGCGGCGCGCUGGAUCCCUACUGACGCUGAGGCACGAAAGCCAGGGGAGCAAACGGG
This 253-nucleotide ribosomal RNA is filed under the name uncultured bacterium. RNAcentral describes it as "partial 16S ribosomal RNA". It matches the Rfam family "Bacterial small subunit ribosomal RNA", at positions 524 to 776 of the family's 1533-position model. The record is from RNAcentral.